GUGGGAUAGCUGGGUCAAAUGCACAUAUACUAAAAUUGGAACGAUACAGAGAAGAUUAACAUGGCCCCUGCAUAAGGAUUACACGUAAAAUGCCUUUU
RNAcentral lists this small nuclear RNA (98 nucleotides) under Sciurus vulgaris (Eurasian red squirrel). Lineage: Eukaryota; Metazoa; Chordata; Mammalia; Rodentia; Sciuridae. The record is from RNAcentral.